This 283-nucleotide unclassified non-coding RNA is filed under the name Mycobacterium heidelbergense. RNAcentral describes it as "partial 16S-23S ribosomal RNA intergenic spacer". The record is from RNAcentral. Lineage: Bacteria; Bacillati; Actinomycetota; Actinomycetes; Mycobacteriales; Mycobacteriaceae.
AAGGAGCACCACGAAAAGCACCCCAAUUGGUGGGGUGCAAGCCGUGCGGGGUUCUCGCCUGUAGUGGGCGAGGGCCGGGUGCGCAACAGCAAAUGAUUGCCAGACACACUAUUGGGCCCUGAGACAACACUCGGGUUGUUCGAGUGGUUGUCCCUCCAUCUUGGUGGUGGGGUGUGGUGUUUGAGAACUGGAUAGUGGUUGCGAGCAUCUAAAUGAAUGCGUUGCCCUCCGAGUAUCGGGGCGGUGGCGGAUUCAUUAAAAUGUGUAAUUUUUCUUUGGUUUU